AACGAACGCUGGCGGCAGGCCUAACACAUGCAAGUCGAACGUGAAGCUACCUUCGGGUAGUGGAAAGUGGCGCACGGGUGAGUAACGCGUGGGAAUCUACCUCUUGGUUCGGGAUAACCCUUGGAAACGAGUGCUAAUACCGGAUAAGCCCUUCGGGGGAAAGAUAUAUUGCCGAGAGAUGAGCCCGCGUUCAAUUAGGUAGUUGGUAGGGUAAUGGCCUACCAAGCCUACGAUUGAUAGCUGGUCUGAGAGGAUGACCAGCCACACUGGGACUGAGACACGGCCCAGACUCCUACGGGAGGCAGCAGUGGGGAAUAUUGGACAAUGGAGGCAACUCUGAUCCAGCCAUGCCGCGUGAGUGAUGAAGGCCUUAGGGUUGUAAAGCUCUUUCAGAUGUGACGAUGAUGACGGUAACAUCAGAAGAAGCCCCGGCUAACUUCGU
RNAcentral lists this ribosomal RNA (442 nucleotides) under uncultured bacterium. RNAcentral's name for it is "bacterial SSU rRNA". It matches the Rfam family "Bacterial small subunit ribosomal RNA", at positions 29 to 506 of the family's 1533-position model. The record is from RNAcentral.